GACGAACGCUGGCGGCGUGCUUAACACAUGCAAGUCGAACGGUAAGGCCCUUCGGGGUACACGAGUGGCGAACGGGUGAGUAACACGUGGGUGAUCUGCCCUGCACUUCGGGAUAAGCCUGGGAAACUGGGUCUAAUACCGGAUAGGACCACUGCCUGCAUGGGUGGUGGUGGAAAGCUUUUGCGGUGUGGGAUGGGCCCGCGGCCUAUCAGCUUGUUGGUGGGGUGAUGGCCUACCAAGGCGACGACGGGUAGCCGGCCUGAGAGGGUGACCGGCCACACUGGGACUGAGAUACGGCCCAGACUCCUACGGGAGGCAGCGGUGGGGAAUAUUGCACAAUGGGCGCAAGCCUGAUGCAGCGACGCCGCGUGAGGGAUGACGGCCUUCGGGUUGUAAACCUCUUUCAGCACCGACGAAGCGCAAGUGACGGUAGGUGCAGAAGAAGGGCCGGCCAACUACGUGCCAGCAGCCGCCGUAA
Molecule: ribosomal RNA, 478 nt
Filed under: uncultured bacterium
Lineage: Bacteria
Description: partial 16S ribosomal RNA
Rfam family: Bacterial small subunit ribosomal RNA
Source: RNAcentral